UACAGCUGCAGGCAAAGGAAGAGAACGAUCGUCGAUACAAGGAGGUCCUAGCCCGCCUGGUCAGACGAUACCUCCUGCUCCAUGCGCGAGAGAAGAACAUUGAGCCGAUCUUUGCAGACAUCUCGUCUGAUGGCCCCGUCAAUCAAAGUGGAACGUCAAUCAAAGUGGAGCCUGACGGCGUCCCUGUUGGUGAAUCGGCUCCGUCAAACACGAAGCGCCAACAGUCGACUGAGGCUGGCAACUGGUCCAAGAUACAAGUUGGUUCUGAUGGGGAAGAAGGGACUGCAUCCGGAACAGGAGCUGCCUGUUAGAGAUUUCAUCUGUCUUUUGAUAAAAUCAGUCGUCAGUUCCGCCUUCAUUAUGUGUGUGGUUAUGCGUAAGUCACCACACAAAGUCGGAUACAUUGUGUUCACAAUGGCUAUGCCUGUAUGCUAGUGGCCUUCUUCUUUCAGUUGAGGCAACCACCUUCAGCUUAGUGAAGAUUAUGUUGGUCUUAACCUUUGACUAUUCAGUAGUGACACUGCUGUCUAGUCACUCAUCGGAAAAUAUGCAUCCAUAUCUACCAUUACGUGUUGUAUCAGAACGUCAGAAAAAUAACCGGAUCCUUGAAUCCUGUAAAUAAGAGCCGUAACAGUCUUGAAAUCUAUCGAAAGAUCUUCAACGAAUGACAAUUGGCCAGUUAUCACCUUCGCUAAGAAGGUUAUGUUUUGUGUAGUAUUUGUAUAUGUAUAUGUAUGGGUGUAGUUGAGUAGCAGACUAGAUAUCUCGAGAAUGCCUAGAUAGAUUGUAUUAAAAUUGAUUUUCGGUAUGAUUAGAUGUAGAUCCCUUAGCGGUUUGUAACGGUACUGCAGUGGUACUUCAGGUAUGUAUUCGAAUACUAACUUACCGAUCACUUGUACUAGCUCUUCAGUCGUUCAAUUUCUUCACAUUGUGUGUUGUUUAUAUAGGGCACUUCUCUUUUUUUUGUCAUUCCUGGGUGUGUUACUAUUAGCAUAUAUUUAUCUAUUAUGGUAUUUAUCAUUAUGUUUAUCUGUUACGGUAUUUAUCAUCAUGUUUAUCUAUUACAGUAUUUAUCAUUAUGUUUAUCUAUUACGGUAUUUAUCCGUUGAUUAGCUGCAUUUGAGCUGAAUAAAAUGUCUACCCAAAUCAUGA
This is a long non-coding RNA of Branchiostoma floridae (Florida lancelet), 1152 nucleotides long. RefSeq lists it as uncharacterized. The record is from RefSeq and is a predicted model, not a curated record. The transcript has 2 exons. Lineage: Eukaryota; Metazoa; Chordata; Leptocardii; Amphioxiformes; Branchiostomatidae.